This 3759-nucleotide long non-coding RNA is filed under the name Macaca mulatta (Rhesus monkey). RNAcentral's name for it is "lncRNA (ENSMMUG00000059950.1)". The record is from RNAcentral. Lineage: Eukaryota; Metazoa; Chordata; Mammalia; Primates; Cercopithecidae.
AUGUCCAGAGAGCAGCUGGAACAAGAAUUGCUGCCUGCAGGCGCUUCUGUCCACCAGCCAUGCAUCAGUGAGUGGCCCUGGACCCAGCCACUGUGUGUGCACCUGCGGUUCCUGCCAUGGGGAGCAGGAGCCAUUUGGCUGCUCCUCUUCACAGGGCACCACCUGCGAUCUUUCACUGCCCAGGUGGAGUCGCUGGAGCUUAAAGAAGGGGAAGUAAACUCAAGCGCACAUCCUGGUAACCUCUAGCCACGGGUCAAAUUUCACUGACGUCACUUAAAAAUGACCAAAGACCCGCCCCUGUGAAAACCCCGUGGGCAGCCAUUUUGUCUCAAGGAAACUGCCCAGAUCUGAGGUAAAGUAGUUCCGGACGUCUCUUGGUUGUAUAUGGCAUUUCUCUGAAAUAAGCAACUCUUUGAAAAAUAUAAUAGCGCAGAACAAAGUGAAGUACUCCAUGGUGAAGUUGAAGUACACAGUCACCAAAGAAACUUGCCCUCAGGCUGCAAAGUAAAAGCUGGAAAUCCCAGAGCAGCAACUUGGAAAUCCCACCUGCUACAUAUUUGCCUGAGUACUUUAAGGUUCUAUGGAAAAUUGUCUCUCUGUGUAGAUUAACCUUAAACUUGUUCCAUUUUGAUAUGGUAUUUCUUGUUUCAUUUCUCUUGCUUUUCUCCCCUAUUUUAUAAUAAGUUUCAUUUACUCUGUGAUACUUUAAGAAGAGAUAACCUUUCACCAAGGGAUGUUGCUGUGAUAACCUCCAAGUCACAAAUACAGGUUCUAAUCUUACCCCAGGGAAGUCCUGCCUCCCUUGCAGACUGGUUUAUGUCUGAGUGGAUUUGCCUAUCAGCGUCUUUUCUGAUGAGGCAUGUAGCCCAGCAUGGCAGCAAAGAAUCCUGCAGCAGGCAGAUAAAGCUUUCUAAAAAUGUUUUAAUUUUACUUUUAAUGGACAAAUAAUAAUUGUAUAUAUUUACAGGGUACAAUGUGAUGUUUCAAUACAUGCAUAUAUUGUGGAAUGAUCAAAUCAGGCUAAUUAACCAUAUCCAUUACCUUAUAUACUCAUUUCUUUGCAAUGAGAACAUUUAAAAUCUAGUCUUUUAGCAAUUUUGAAAUAUACAAUCCAUUAUUGUUCUAGUGACUACACUGUGCAAUAGAUCACCAGAACUUAUGCCUCAGAUAAAGCUCUGAAUCCUGUGAAUCCUGUUACCACAGAAUAGCAAGUGACCUCAAACCAGCUACUUAACCCCUCUAAACCUCAAUUUCCUCAUCUCUACUGUUGAGACUAUAAUAGCAUCUACCUCACAGGGCUGUUGGAAGGAUUACAUGCUCUCGUGAAGGCUUAGUAAAUCCUAACUCCUACUACAUUAUUUUAUUGAGGUCUCAUUGAAUUAGAUACCCAAGAGAGAGAAAAUGAAAGGGAAGUGCUUAACAUUUGUGACAACCUUAACGUGAUCUGCACAUUUCCUAAAAAUUAUAACACUUGUAUGAUUUCAUUUUCCCCAAGAUAAUACAUUAGUAUUUUGGAAAGUGUAAGAUGAAAAAUUGUUACCCUGAACUGCAAUAUCCUACUUUCUGGAUUCAAAUCCUUAUCUAUCCUGCACUUCUCACUAUACCUUCUCUUAGACCUCAUUACGGUUACCCCAUGGCCUGUGCUUUGGUUCCCAUAUCCUCCCACCUUUCCAGAAACUUUCCAUGUAUCAGUUACCCCUUCUCUCCUCUCAGCUAGGUCCUUCGCAUAAGUAAUCAAGCCCUAGGUCACUCUAGGCCUUUCCAUAUUACGAAAUAAUAUCCCUCCUAUCUCUACUCUAUUUGUCUCUUUUCCUUCAAAGCCGGUCUUUUAACAAAUUACAUACUUACUGCUGCCAUUUUUUUCAAACCUGCGUCACUCUUGAGCACAUUACAAACUGGUUUCUAGCCCAAAUAUUCCAAGUCGCCCUCAUGAAGAUCUCUAGUGGUCUCCACAUUGCUAAAUCCAAAAAACUUUUUCAGUCUUUCUCUCAUUGACCCUCUUGCUGAUGCUGGGCACAAUCCCUCUUGCUUGGACUUUAUUGCCUCUGACACUACAUCUUGGUUUUCCUUCCAAGUCUCUGACUGCUCCUGUUUUGUCUCCAUUUCUGCCUCUUUCUCCUCUGCCUUCCAUUAAAUACUGAAGUUCCCCAAGUCUCAGUCCUAGACCCUCUUCUCACUUUGUAUACUGCACUCUCUCCUGACUAUCAUUAUCAAUCAUGAUUUCAGUUAUGUGAUACCAGCUUACAUCUCCAGCCCAGACCAGAUCUCUGUGUUCCACACCCAGAUGUCCAAUUAUUUAUUUACCACAUCUCCAUUUGGAAGGCAUUCCUCUUCAGUUUGCCUAAGACCAAGUUCAUGAUCUUCCUCAGCAAACCUGCUCCUCUUCCUUUGUUCUCUGUCUCAAUUAAUGAUACCAUUAUCCAGCCAGCAUAUAUCAUUCUUGAUGCCCUCUUCUCCCUCACUUACCAUACUUAAUUCAUCACUAGGGCCUAACUCUUUCAUUUCCUAAAUGUCUCUCAAAACAAUCUUGACUCCAAUAUUUCCAUAGUCAUCACCAUAGGAUAAUCACCGUAGCAUCAAUCUAUGCUGCCAUCAUCUCUUUAUUCCCUGGGUUUUCUCUCCAUUCACUCUGCUUUCCCAGCCCCAAUUCCUUUCUCCACAUUGCAGCCAGUCCCACCAUGUCCUUCCUUACGACUUGCCAAUAACUUCCUAUGGAUCACAGGAAAAUGAUCAAAAUCUUUAACACUGUGUUGCAAAGACAGCCUUUCCACAGUAUCUGUUUUCUCCUUCUAUCUCACAAAAAUCUUUCGUUAUUGGGACAGCAAUAUAUCUCAGACACAAAUUUAAAAAAAGAUAAUUCCUAACCUCCUUUACAGAGAGGAAUAACCUAUGCGAUAUAAGCAGAAGUUGUUAAAUGGAGUACCCAGGAAAAUCCUUUUACCCUUGCCCUUUGGGUUCUUCAUGUUUGAAAUAUGUGUCCGGAGCUGCGCGCCCCGGCCAUAGCGAAUGAUAGCUGAUGAUUGGGAACGCCUGAGCUCUAUUCAUUUCCACCCCACGCCUUCUCCCUAUCUUUGCCUUUUCUCCCUGUAUUAAUACUUCAUAAAAGAUGGCGCUCUUCCUGCUUCUUCUUCACCUAUUUUUCCCGCGCCCGCGAAAAUUACUACCUGACAGCGCAGGUGCAACAUGACGUUCGACCAGAGAAACCAAUACCUACUUGGUCACGCCCUCUGCGAUGAGAUCAUCUCCACCUCUGGCCCAACCCCUUUCCCUCCAAGUGUAUAUAAGGCACUGCAUUACCGCCAUUAAAAGAGACUUGAUCAGAGCACUGUCUUGUCUCCAUUUCUCGUAUCUCUUGUUCCCCAAAUUCCCACCCCCUCCUCCAGGGCCUGCUUCGACUAUCCCGCGGGCCGGGAUAAAUAUGGUUGUGAUCACUGGCACUCCAGUCUCCACCUUGAGACCUUGAAGGUGGAGGCUAGAACCAGAAAUGGUAAGGCAGAAAGAUGAAAGAGGCGUGGGUUCCAGUGACUUGGGAGAACCAUGCUACAAGACUUGACUUUCUACUUCUGGGCUUCUUCUGUGCAAGAGAACAAAAUCUUUACAUAAUACAUUCACUAGUUGGAUUUCUGGCACUAGGAGUUGCAGUCAGUUUCUAAUUGAUACACACAAGAUUUGCAAGGCCCUACAUAGUCUUGUCUCUGCUCUACCUCCCAAGCUGCUUCUUGCCCCAUUGUCACCUGUAUGCUCUUCAGUACAGCCACA